Pipistrellus kuhlii (Kuhl's pipistrelle) is the source of this 433-nucleotide long non-coding RNA. RefSeq lists it as uncharacterized. Lineage: Eukaryota; Metazoa; Chordata; Mammalia; Chiroptera; Vespertilionidae. The transcript has 3 exons. The record is from RefSeq and is a predicted model, not a curated record.
GGAGCAGCCGAAAUUCCCCAUCCCUUUAAAAGGCCCGGGGGUGGGUGGUGGCAGCACAAGAGAAAGGUGAUGCCGGGAGAGGGGGAAACAGAUGGGAAAUGGGGACAGAGGGUCGGGGCGCUGAGUUGGGUGGAAAGUUUGUCUGGAGAACUCCCACGGCUCCGGCCUCCCCUCCCCCUCCCGGCUCCCAGCUGCCCAGCCAGGAGGAGAAAGGCUGCUUAGCAGAGACAUGGCAACUCAGCCGGGAGCUGGAACUGGAAACUUUCUGUCAAUGCAAACGGCCGCGUGGGUGGCGACCCAAUGGUGGUUGGGCUGCGGGUCACGUGACGGCUUCUUUGUAGCUCCGGAAGAGGACUGUGAGGUUUAGGAGAAUUGCAAGGUGGGAAAACAAUCAAGAUUUGGGGGAAGUACCCACAGAGACUGACGGUAAGUU